AAUGAAGUGCCUGAAAAAAGGGUUAUUUUGAUAGAAUAAAUUAUGCGAUUAUUUGCCUUCAUUA
Molecule: transfer RNA, 64 nt
Filed under: Drilaster sp. 2 XYG-2023a
Lineage: Eukaryota; Metazoa; Arthropoda; Insecta; Coleoptera; Lampyridae
Description: tRNA-Ile
Source: RNAcentral